Molecule: ribosomal RNA, 127 nt
Filed under: Aeromonas veronii
Lineage: Bacteria; Pseudomonadati; Pseudomonadota; Gammaproteobacteria; Aeromonadales; Aeromonadaceae
Also listed under: 1 other name
Description: partial 23S ribosomal RNA
Rfam family: Bacterial large subunit ribosomal RNA (bases 1-108)
Source: RNAcentral
UUGAGGGUCCUAAAGGGCCGUUGGAGACCACAACGUUGAUAGGUGGGGUGUGUAAGCGCGGCGACGUGUUGAGCUAACCCAUACUAAUUACCCGUGAGGCUUAACCAUACAACACCCAAGAAGUGUU